RNAcentral lists this ribosomal RNA (301 nucleotides) under uncultured bacterium. RNAcentral describes it as "partial 16S ribosomal RNA". It matches the Rfam family "Bacterial small subunit ribosomal RNA", at positions 509 to 807 of the family's 1533-position model. The record is from RNAcentral.
CAGCAGCCGCGGUAAUACGUAGGUGGCAAGCGUUAAUCGGAAUUACUGGGCGUAAAGCGUGCGCAGGCGGUUCUAUAAGACAGAUGUGAAAUCCCCGGGCUCAACCUGGGAACUGCAUUUGUGACUGUAGAGCUGGAGUGCGGCAGAGGGGGAUGGAAUUCCGCGUGUAGCAGUGAAAUGCGUAGAUAUGCGGAGGAACACCGAUGGCGAAGGCAAUCCCCCGGGCCUGCACUGACGCUCAUGCACGAAAGCGUGGGGAGCAAACAGGAUUAGAUACCCCAGUAGUCCCUGUCUCUUAUAC